GAAGACAGUUAUUACUUAAUAUACACAUGCAAGUCUCCGCUCCCCUGUGAAAACGCCCUUAAAUUCCUCCCAGGAAUAAGGAGCUGGUAUCAGGCACAAACUUAGCCCAAGACACCUAGCUAUGCCACACCCCCACGGGAACUCAGCAGUGAUUAACAUUGAAAAUAAGCGACAGCUUGAAUCAGUUAAAGUAAAUAGAGCCGGCAAAUCUGGUGCCAGCCGCCGCGGUUACACCAUGUGGCUCAAACUGUUCUCUUUCGGCGUAAAGCGUGAUUAAAGUUUCCUUUCAACUGCAAUUAAACUAAAACUAAGCUGUGACACGCUUGUUUGUAGGAAAUCCAAUAAACGAAAGUCAUUGCAACCCUAAUAACUUGAACUCACGACAGCUGGGAAACAAACUGGGA
This 404-nucleotide ribosomal RNA is filed under the name Dendropsophus sp. VOGT2211. RNAcentral's name for it is "partial 12S ribosomal RNA". The record is from RNAcentral. Lineage: Eukaryota; Metazoa; Chordata; Amphibia; Anura; Hylidae.